UGGGGAAUAUUGCGCAAUGGGGGAAACCCUGACGCAGCGACGCCGCGUGAGCGAAGAAGGCCUUAGGGUUGUAAAGCUCUGUUUUAAGGGACGAAUGUUAUGGGGAGAAAUAUGCCCUGUAAAUGACGGUACCUUAAGAGGAAGCCCCGGCUAACUACGUGCCAGCAGCCGCGGUAAGACGUAGGGGGCGAGCGUUGUCCGGAAUUACUGGGCGUAAAGAGCACGUAGGCGGGAACUUAAGUCAGGUGUGAAAGACCGUGGCUCAACCACGGGUGUGCACUUGAAACUGGGUUUCUUGAGGGCAGGAGAGGAAAGCAGAAUUCCUGGUGUAGCGGUGAAAUGCGUAGAAAUCAGGAGGAAUACCAGUGGCGAAGGCGGCUUUCUGGACUGACCCUGACGCUGAGGUGCGAAAGCGUGGGUAGCAAACAGG
This 430-nucleotide ribosomal RNA is filed under the name uncultured bacterium. RNAcentral's name for it is "bacterial SSU rRNA". It matches the Rfam family "Bacterial small subunit ribosomal RNA", at positions 355 to 776 of the family's 1533-position model. The record is from RNAcentral.